Mauremys reevesii (Reeves's turtle) is the source of this 1016-nucleotide long non-coding RNA. RefSeq lists it as uncharacterized. The transcript has 5 exons. The record is from RefSeq and is a predicted model, not a curated record. NCBI's taxonomy places the organism in Eukaryota, Metazoa, Chordata, Testudines, Geoemydidae.
AAUCACUGACAAGGAGGUGAGCAGAGAAGAGCCUCUGGAAGCCAAAUGAAGCACAUUUUGACUGAUGGCUCUGCAUAGCUAGAAAAACAAAUAAAAAUUCUCUGAAACAUUGAUGUUUGCAGGUGAUCAUCAUUCAAGAUGUGAGGGGACCAGGUGACCACCCAUGCCAGGAGGAAAUGAGUGAAAGCGACUGUCCUGGGGAAGAGGUAAGAAAUGCCCAGGCUCAGAGCACCCACGUGGAUAUUAAUGGACCUUAUUAACUUGCAGGUAGAAGAACUGCUGCUGCUUCACUUGCCAAGGGAAGAAUGUGAGAAGCAGGUGCAGACUUUGCUAACGCAAUGUGCCUGGCCACCUGCUGAAUCCACAGAGGGGACAGAAGAGCAUUCUGCAGCUAUAGUCCUGGGAAUGGAGAGCAGCCCCCUGAGACAGUGCAGCCAGUUGCACUUUCCAGCUGUAAACAUCCCUGCAGAUCAUGGGCCAAGGAGAUGCAAGAAAUGAAAUUCAUCUUGCAUGCCAGGAGAGGAAUACUGUGCGAGCAACCUGACUGGCCAGCUGAUGACACAUCCCAAGAUACGUGAAGAGUUGAGGACCAUAGCAGACAACAGGGAUUCCUCUUUAUCAGGAGGUAAGGAAUAUACAGUACCUGUUUAUAGCAUCCCAGUGCAAAUCAAAGACUUUGUUUUUUCUUUCGGAGCCUAUGUUAUAUGUCAAGAGGGGAAUGCUGCCAACUAAUUGAGAACAAAGCAAUGUAUGUAACCAGAGCUGCUGAGAUGUAAGAGAAGCAUCCUGUGAAUCUAUUCAUGGAAAAGGAGAGUAGCCACUUAUCCCCAGGAAGUGUUAAACAAUGCAGCUGGUUGCAUCUCUACAAACACAGCCACACUCAGACCGUUCCCGGCACGGAGCACAUCGCACUUGUCCAGAUGUCAGGAGAGCAGGGGGCUGUGCUUUUCAAGAAGCAGUUAUGGACACUGAUCAUCCCCUUUCGUGAGGGGCUGAUUGAUACCUGUCUAUGGAGG